This is a long non-coding RNA of Gadus macrocephalus (Pacific cod), 966 nucleotides long. RefSeq lists it as uncharacterized. The transcript has 3 exons. The record is from RefSeq and is a predicted model, not a curated record. NCBI's taxonomy places the organism in Eukaryota, Metazoa, Chordata, Actinopteri, Gadiformes, Gadidae.
GUCUUGUGAGACGACUGCUUCCGUUGAUGUGGUCGGAAAAGGGUGUUUGUUAUUUUUAAGUGAGGCCGAAAUGCCCGCUGAAAAGAGGCGGAUUCAGGAGCGAGAGAGACAACUGAAGGAGGCAGCAAAGGGGAGCACAUCACUGCAGGGUUGGCUACGAAAAAGCCAACAAGCAGAUGAGGAGCAGCCACAAGACUCCAGCCACAAGGAAGUUGGGGACCAGGAGGCGCAUAGUGCAGGUAGGCCUAAGUGCUGAUCACCAAAUAUGAGAUGAGAGGACCACGCUAGAAAGUACAGGGUUAAAGAGCUGCAUGCUGAAUAAUUGUAAUCUAAAAAGAACAUAGGCUAUUUUAGAGAUCCUUUCAAAGAUCUUGCCAGAGCAGAACAUGAAUAACCCUGCUUCUAAUGGGCAUUCAAAUAAUAAUGAUAAUGGUAAUAACAAUAAUAUGUAAUUGGAGAGAUGAUGAGCCCGGUGCAUCAGCUGCGUUCAGAGUGCCAGAGCCAGAGCCAAUCCCAGAUGAGAUCAGGACAGACUGGCAAAACAGGGAAAGGAGAGAUGAGUAACAGGAUGAGAUGAGGGAGAGGAGAACAUCAGAAAGGGAGGAUAUUGAGGUGAAGAGUGGGGCAGAAUCCACAGAUUUAGAUUUUUUGCUGAGGUUGGCUUAUCCCACAGAUCCAGCUCAUGUACAGAGCAGCAAUCUUAAAUACGAUCAGACCUUCAUCACAUUUUCCCUAAAAAUCUCCCUAAAAACACAAAUAAAGGGUGAUUGAGUGCUGUAUUUCAGUGUUUUACUAAUUUGUAUUAAUAUAUUAAUAAAGACUAGGGGUGGGUAUUUCCAGGUACCUCACGAUUCAAUUCGAUUCUUAAGGGCUUGAUUUGAUUCGAUUUUGAUUUGAUAUUGAUUCAUUUGCUUCGAUAUCGAUUCAAUAAUACAUGCAGAUGACAAAAAUACCUAAAUAUUAUUU